This 827-nucleotide unclassified non-coding RNA is filed under the name Hevea brasiliensis (rubber tree). The record is from RNAcentral. Lineage: Eukaryota; Viridiplantae; Streptophyta; Magnoliopsida; Malpighiales; Euphorbiaceae.
GGAGAAAGCAACAACUAAACCUGGAGUGGAGAAGUCUAGUUCUGUUCGUGGGGCGAGUCCAACACCGAAGAGACUGCUGGGUGGGAAUCCAUUGAAGAAUUAUCUUCAAGGACUCGAAUUGGAGCCUAAGGCCCUGAGGAAGAGCUGGGAAGGGAAUAUGGAUUUGAAGAGUAGAGAGAGUCCCAGAUUGAGGGUCAACAAGCAUGAUUUGAAGCCUGAACCGAGGAGCACUUCUGUUCCAAGAAAAUCAACUAGUGAAAAAUUGACUAGUAAAGAAGAUAACCGGGGAAUACUUGCAAAAUCAUCCAAAGAGGAAAAUAAGGCUCAUACAUCCUUGAAGAAGUCCACAAAUGGAGAGCCUGUUGAUGCUGAUAAAUCAAGUAACCAGAAAAUAUCCAAGGGAAGAAAGCAACCUGGGGAAGUCAAUAAUGGCUUACAAGACUUGGUCAAAGUUGCUGUCAGUAAUAGAAUUUUAGCAGAUGGAAAUGUUGCCUGGUCUUCACUCCCAUCUUCUCUCACAAAGAUUGGAAAGGAAGUCAUGAAGCACAGAGACGCCGCACAGGUAGCAGCCAUUGAGGCUAUGCAGGUGGCUUCGGCUUCUGAAAGCUUACUAAGAUGUCUAAGCACAUAUUCUGAGUUGAGCUCCUCGGCAAAGGAAGAUAACGCACAGCCUGCUGUUGAGCAAUUCUUGGCGCUGCAUGCGAGUUUGAAGAAUGUUCACCUUGUUGGUGAUGCUUUAUCCAAGACCAUAUCAGCUGCUGGUUCAGAAUCAGAUCAUGAAGAGAACCCUUCUGAAGAAGCACUUAAGGCUGUAUCAGAAAAACGGA